CGGGAGUAAGUAGUCUGGGAACGUGCCUGAUGGGGGGAGGUAACUACUGGAAACGGUAGCUAAUACCGCAUAACGUCGCAAGACCAAAGUGGGGGACCGUUCGGGCCUCAUGCCAUCAGAUGUGCCCAGAUGGGAUUAGCUAGUAGGUGGGGUAACGGCUCACCUAGGCGACGAUCCCUAGCUGGUCUGAGAGGAUGACCAGCCACACUGGAACUGAGACACGGUCCAG
This 229-nucleotide ribosomal RNA is filed under the name uncultured bacterium. RNAcentral describes it as "partial 16S ribosomal RNA". It matches the Rfam family "Bacterial small subunit ribosomal RNA", at positions 104 to 334 of the family's 1533-position model. The record is from RNAcentral.